This 22-nucleotide small RNA is filed under the name Arabidopsis thaliana (thale cress). RNAcentral's name for it is "ATSL137930". The record is from RNAcentral. Lineage: Eukaryota; Viridiplantae; Streptophyta; Magnoliopsida; Brassicales; Brassicaceae.
AACUCAAUCCAAAGGCUAAGAG